Long non-coding RNA from Ictalurus punctatus (channel catfish), 960 nucleotides. Lineage: Eukaryota; Metazoa; Chordata; Actinopteri; Siluriformes; Ictaluridae. The record is from Ensembl.
AAGUAUACGGGCUUUAGACAGCAGUGCAGGUUUUCUGUUCCUAUCACACUCCAACGCUGAGAUCUGGGAGAUGUUUAGUGCAGUAAAAGCAAAGAUUCCCCUAAGUUUAUGAUGCAGCUUAAUACACUGCGGGUGUGAUGGCUGCCCUCUUGUGGACGAAGGUUUAACUGCAGGUAAAAUGGCUAAAAAGGCUGAGGAGCGCCAACCUUUCAGAACAUUUCUAGGCCAGACUCGUGCAAAAUAAGUCGGGGGAGUCUGACUGUCCAGCAGAAGGCAUGUAAUAAACGUCAGUCAGGACGUUGGAGCACCAACUGGAGUUAAUUUAAUAAAUACAUUUCUGUAUGAUGUCUAAAAUGUGAACAUAUCCUCCGGGAUCAAGACUUCUGCCUUCUCCAGCAUGGAGAUCCUGUGUUCCUGACGUUCUCUGGAGAGACGCUGAGCUACGAAGUGGGACUGCUUCAUCUUCUCUUCACUGUAUAUGCAGUGUAUAUAUCAAUGAAGCGAGAGAUAAAUGUGUUGUGGUCUUUUUGCUGUGAUGCCUGUGAAUUUUUUUUGUGGAUCAUAAUUUUAAAAGACAAAGGCGCUACGACACCGAGGUGUUUGCUGUGGGGUUUGGUGGCGUUGUGGUGACGUUGUGGUGACGUUGUGCUCUGUGGAGUGGGAGGUUAUUGGUUCAAACCCAGCUUGGGUGCUGGAUGGUAGAAUGGGGAGUUAAUGUGUCUCACUUUUUUGACCUGGAAGUGUGAUGCUUAGUUCAUGGUUACAUAAAUGAAGGUGAAAAGGUCUAUAAAACAGGUUUCUUGUACGAGAUCCUGUAGCUCAUGUGGAUGAGCAUCGCCCUCUGGGUUGAGUGGUUGCUGGUUCAAACGCCAGCCAGGAUGAAAGGAUAAGAGCGUGGAAGGUUCAGGAAUCAGUGGAAGGCUGAUUGAUGUGGAAGGUCCAGGACGAGUGGCGUGGAAG